Long non-coding RNA from Ctenopharyngodon idella (grass carp), 1712 nucleotides. RefSeq lists it as uncharacterized. The record is from RefSeq and is a predicted model, not a curated record. NCBI's taxonomy places the organism in Eukaryota, Metazoa, Chordata, Actinopteri, Cypriniformes, Xenocyprididae. The transcript has 3 exons.
UUUUGUCUCAGGCUGUGAAACCUCACAAGAUAUUAUGUUCGAUUACAUGUCAAUCAUGUAAACAUGUUUACUGUUUUUUUGUUUUUCCUACAUCCUACAGAAAAUAAACCCAAGAGCAAGGACAGAAGAGGCAUUUAAAGAGACGCAGUGUUUCUGUACUAUGAAGAGGAAAAGGCUUGAAUAAAGACAGGAGAUGGAAGGUGCAGAACACAACAGGGAGACCUGAGGGCAAACCCAUGCCGCAGUAAUGAGAGGAGAUGAUGGUGAGAACUUCACAAUAAAGGUGAGCUUUCAAGGUGGCCUUUGAUGUCUCGAAAGUGCCUUGAAUAUAUAAAAGCCCAAAACAAUCUAUACUUUUUUUCUGGAAUUGUGCUCUUUCAGACUGAAUUGGCUUCAAUCAAUGUACAAAACUGAUUUAGCCUCUUGAAGUGUGAAUGGAGAAAAGUAAUGCACAAACAUUAAUGUGAAGAGACAGUAUGUCUUAAAAAUGUCGACUUAGCAUAGGUGCCCCUUAUACAGAGUAUGUUUACAGGGCACUGCGUAUGCCAUUCUGACUUACAAACAACACACAGGCCGUCUGAUCGAUUGUAUUGAUUACAAGUAAGCUGCUUUGAGCUCUAUGGGCCGCUUAGAAAUCACAUAAACAUUAUUGCUUAUCAGGUUCACAGGAGGACUAAGGUCACUUUGGAUUUACAACAUUUUUCCUCAGGCCAGUUACAUUUAGCUGGUUUGGCAGUGAGAUAAGAGUUACCUUGAACACAUAGCUAUUAUUUAAUGUCCAGGGCUAGAUAAAAACACAUAUUGUUCCUUCAAAACACUUCUCAACAUGAGCACUGGCCAGCAGAUUGGUCCACAAUACAAUUAAAUGUUUCUUCUAGUCUUAGACAUAACAUGGGCAGGAAAUUGGUAGUUGUGUAGAUUAAAUAUGCUGCCAAUGUGAAAGAAACAAACAAAAUGUUUGCUUGGAAGAUACACUCUGGAUUCUUUGUCACAAUGUCCUACUUGUAAGUAAAUCGUUCUUUUGAGGUUUUUUUUUUUUUUUUUUUGUUCACAAAAAUGGUCUGGGUGGUCAACAACUUACUGACUCAUUGAACCGACUCACUUUUGGAGAUUCAUUUUGGAGAACAUUUACUGUUGUUUUGUGAAUUUUCACAUUCAAAAUCCAGUCAUUUCAAUAGUAAUCCACACAAUUUGGAAUUUGGGUGAAAGAUUUGACCAACAGUAAGGUGCUUGGUUUGAAAGUGACAAAUGUGUCAGAAUUGUGAGAUAUAAACUUGCAAUUCUGAGAAAAAACAUCAGAAUUGCAAGUUUAUAUCUCACAAUUCUGACUUUCUAUCACGCAAUUCUGACUUUAUAACUCGCAAUUCUGAGUUUAUAUCUCACAAUUGACACUUUUUUCUCAGAAUUGCGAGAUAUAAACUCACAAUUGCGAGUUAUAGUCAGAAUUGCAUGAUAUAAACUCGCAAUUACGUCUUAUACAGUCAGAUUUACGAGUUUAUAUCUCGCAAUUCUGACGUUUUUUCUCAGAAUUGUUUAUGUCUUGCAAUUCUGACUUUAUAACAUGCAACUGCGAGUUCUAAAGUCAGAAUUGUGAGAACUUGCAAUUCUGAGAAAAAAUGUCAGAAUUUCGAGUUUAUAUCUCACAAUUCUGACUUCAUAUCACGCAAUUCUGACUUUAUAACUCACGCCAUUCUGACUUUAUAUCGCUCAAU